AGCUAAUAAUUAUAAAGGAACUUAGUAAAUUAAUUAUAUAACUUUAGAAUAAGGAAGUUUUAUUAGUCUUAAUUAAUAUUAAGUAAAAAGGAAAAAGUAUAAAAUAGUAUUAUAUAACUAUUUAAUUAAAAUAUAGUACUUUACUUAAAGAUUAAAAAUCUAAGUAUUAAGUAUAAUAUCUACCUAAUCCUAGUUAGUUAAUAGAUAUAAUUAAAUUUAUUAAGAAAGUUUAGUAUUAAUGGAACCCCUAGUUAAUAGUAGCCUUAACAUAAGGGUCCUAAGGUAGUAAAAUACCUUAGCUAUUAAAUGCGGUCUUAUAUAAAUAAUUUAAUAAUAUAAUAGCUGUCUUUAUAAUUAACU
RNAcentral lists this non-coding RNA (360 nucleotides) under Scedosporium apiospermum. Lineage: Eukaryota; Fungi; Ascomycota; Sordariomycetes; Microascales; Microascaceae. The record is from Rfam by way of RNAcentral.